GGCCGAGCGCCCAGAGAGGGCGUGCUGACGUCACGACGCCCGGGUCAAGGCCUGGGCGCGGCUCCGAGCCGGGUUGUCGCUAUAGCAAUCGGGAACCGCUACCUGGCGCGUCCAAGGAUUCGGCCCACCUGAGGCGUGAGGAGGUGACGGAGGCCCCGAGGGCUCUGCGCCGUCACUUCCGCGGCUUGCGGGCGAGAAGGUGCGCUUUGGGAGUAGCGCGGGAGGACAGGAGGUGCAGGUUGUGGAGGGACGCAGGCCCGGGGACUGCCCUCUCUCUCCUCCGAGCUCAGAGCCCCCAAGGCUUUCUCCCGGCUGCGCGCUCAGCACUCGCUGCCUUACUGUCCCGAAGCGCUUUAAGGUGCGCAGUUCGCAGGCCUUGCCUACUGAUCUUCCUUUGAAGGGAGCAGUUGCAGAUUUGGACUGCCCUUCCCUGGCCCAGCUCUGCAAGCCACCCACAGUUCUUUCUCAUGACGAGGACGUCCCCACACUCAUCCUCAGAUGGCAGGAAGAUCUCAGCGGGUGCAGAAGUUCUGACGAAAGUCGGGCUGAUAGGAGCCCAUGGCACAGCGAAUACAGCGAUGGAUGCUGGUGUCGUAGUAGUGCCCUGGGGAGCACUGGACUGCAGGCAAGGGAGAAAGGCAGGAAUCAAGAUGGUGGGCAGGUGAAAGUUACGGGGCAUGGGAUGGACAGGAUACAUUUAUCUUGGAGAAUCAGGAAGUCAGAUACGUCAAAGUUCUUCCUAGGUUCUCAACCUUUCCCAGUCACGCCAGAAUUUAAGCCCAUGGAAAAACAAAGUUUACAGAGUGGUUGGCUACAGUGCCAAUCCUUUUCUUUCAGAUGCUGAGCACAGUUCCAAACCUAUAUAGAAAUUCAUUUGGGAUAUGGAGAAUAUGCCACCAGUUCUACAAAGUGGAGGGGAAGAAAGUUUGCCACCCUCGUAUUACUUAAAGAAUGUCCAGGGGAGGUGCUUCAAUAGAAAAAUAGUGAAUUCAAGAAAGAGGAAGACGUGGGAUGCCGAAACUGUGGUGAACAAAGAACCUAGUAAAACUUUUAGUGAAGUCUGAGUAAUUAUUGAGGCAUAAUGUAAACAUUUUAAAAAUAACAAUUUGGAGCAAUAAUCUACCCAGAUGAUCUCAACUUGGGAGGUGGCAGGUGGGGGAGGAGGAAGAAAGUUAAAUAAUGCUAAGGGAGAAAAAAUUCCUGCCUGAUCAGCUCUAGACAUUGAUAGAAAACCAGAAGUUAAAGAAUAUAGGAUUCAUCUGCCUUGGAGGGUAUGGAAGAAAAAAAAAAAGAUUCAAAUUUAAAGAUAAUCAACAGAAGAUGGAGAAUUGGAAAAUCAACUCCCAGGUCAAUAGAGUGAAUUAAAAAGAUGGGGAAGAGGGCAAAGAAAACUUCAUCAAUCUAACAAAAAGCAGGGAAAGAGGAAAAAGA
Molecule: long non-coding RNA, 1431 nt
Organism: Sapajus apella (tufted capuchin)
Lineage: Eukaryota; Metazoa; Chordata; Mammalia; Primates; Cebidae
Exons: 4
Source: RefSeq, a predicted model, not a curated record